RNAcentral lists this ribosomal RNA (201 nucleotides) under Staphylococcus aureus. RNAcentral describes it as "partial 16S ribosomal RNA". It matches the Rfam family "Bacterial small subunit ribosomal RNA", at positions 1 to 196 of the family's 1533-position model. Lineage: Bacteria; Bacillati; Bacillota; Bacilli; Caryophanales; Staphylococcaceae. The record is from RNAcentral.
UUUAUGGAGAGUUUGAUCCUGGCUCAGGAUGAACGCUGGCGGCGUGCCUAAUACAUGCAAGUCGAGCGAACGGACGAGAAGCUUGCUUCUCUGAUGUUAGCGGCGGACGGGUGAGUAACACGUGGAUAACCUACCUAUAAGACUGGGAUAACUUCGGGAAACCGGAGCUAAUACCGGAUAAUAUUUUGAACCGCAUGGUUC